This 429-nucleotide ribosomal RNA is filed under the name Bacteroidota bacterium. Its description in RNAcentral is "Bacteroidetes bacterium partial 16S ribosomal RNA". It matches the Rfam family "Bacterial small subunit ribosomal RNA", at positions 355 to 776 of the family's 1533-position model. Lineage: Bacteria; Pseudomonadati; Bacteroidota. The record is from RNAcentral.
UAGGGAAUCUUCCGCAAUGGACGCAAGUCUGACGGCGCAACGCCGCGUGAGUGAAGAAGGAUUUCGGUUCGUAAAACUCUGUUGUUAGAGAAGAACAGCGCAUAGAGUAACUGUUAUGCGUGUGACGGUAUCUAACCAGAAAGCCACGGCUAACUACGUGCCAGCAGCCGCGGUAAUACGUAGGUGGCAAGCGUUGUCCGGAUUUAUUGGGCGUAAAGCGAGCGCAGGCGGUCAAUUAAGUCUGAUGUGAAAGCCCCCGGCUCAACCGGGGAGGGUCAUUGGAAACUGGUUGACUUGAGUGCAGAAGAGGAGAGUGGAAUUCCAUGUGUAGCGGUGAAAUGCGUAGAUAUAUGGAGGAACACCAGUGGCGAAGGCGACUCUCUGGUCUGUAACUGACGCUGAGGCUCGAAAGCGUGGGUAGCAAACAGG